GAUGAACGCUGGCGGCGUGCUUAACACAUGCAAGUCGAGCGAGAAGUUUUGAAAAGAUUCUUCGGAUGAAAUUUAAAAUGGAAAGCGGCGGACGGGUGAGUAACGCGUAGGCAACCUGCCCCAUACAAAGGGAUAGCAUUUGGAAACGAAUAUUAAUACCUUAUGAAACUUAACUAGUGCAUGCUAGGUAGGUCAAAGAUUUAUCGGUAUGGGAUGGGCCUGCGUCUAAUUAGCUAGUUGGUGAGGUAACGGCUCACCAAGGCGACGAUCAGUAGCCGACCUGAGAGGGUGAACGGCCACAUUGGAACUGAGACACGGUCCAAACUCCUACGGGAGGCAGCAGUGGGGAAUAUUGCACAAUGGGGGAAACCCUGAUGCAGCAACGCCGCGUGAACGAUGAAGGCCUUUGGGUCGUAAAGUUCUGUUCUAGGUGAUGAAAACUGACAGUAACCUAGGAGAAAGCCCCGGCUAACUCCGUGCCAGCAGCCGCGGUAAUACGGAGGGGGCAAGCGUUAUCCGGAAUUAUUGGGCGUAAAGGGUACGUAGGUGGCCUUUUAAGCGUAGGGUAUAAGGCAAUGGCUCAACCAUUGUUCGCCCUAUGAACUGGAAGGCUUGAGUGCAGGAGAGGAAAGCGGAAUUCCUAGUGUAGCGGUGGAAUGCAUAGAUAUUAGGAGGAACAUCAGCGGCGAAGGCGGCUUUCUGGACUGCAACUGACACUGAGGUACGAAAGCGUGGGGAGCAAACAGG
This 747-nucleotide ribosomal RNA is filed under the name uncultured bacterium. RNAcentral describes it as "bacterial SSU rRNA". It matches the Rfam family "Bacterial small subunit ribosomal RNA", at positions 28 to 776 of the family's 1533-position model. The record is from RNAcentral.